This 414-nucleotide small RNA is filed under the name Pongo abelii (Sumatran orangutan). Its description in RNAcentral is "retained intron". The record is from RNAcentral. Lineage: Eukaryota; Metazoa; Chordata; Mammalia; Primates; Hominidae.
GAAACUGUUACUGACUCUAAAUGUUUUUCUUGUAAAUAGAACUGUCAACUGUUAAGCAACAGUUCAUUCAACAUAUUUAUAACUUGGUUAACUUGCAGAAAUAUGAAACAAGAGUGGGAGAUAAGGGGACUCAGCUCUCAGGAGGUCAAAAACAGAGGAUUGCUAUUGCCCGAGCCCUCAUCAGACAACCUCAAAUCCUCCUGUUGGAUGAAGCUACAUCAGCUCUGGAUACUGAAAGUGAAAAGGUUGUCCAAGAAGCCCUGGACGAAGCCAGAGAAGGCCGCACCUGCAUUGUGAUUGCUCACCGCCUGUCCACCAUCCAGAAUGCAGACUUAAUAGUGGUGUUUCAGAAUGGGAGAGUCAAGGAGCAUGGCACGCAUCAGCAGCUGCUGGCACAGAAAGGCAUCUAUUUUU